This 856-nucleotide non-coding RNA is filed under the name Panulirus ornatus. Lineage: Eukaryota; Metazoa; Arthropoda; Malacostraca; Decapoda; Palinuridae. The record is from RNAcentral.
CUAUAGUUUGAUUCUUGCUAUUACCUUUAUUAAUUGGCUUGGAAAAUACAUGCAAAUUUUAGUUCGUAAUUUAUAACGUUGUUCAUUAAAUAUGAAAGGGUUUAAUAAAACGGUAGCAUAAGCUAUAAUUUUUAGAAGUGCAGUAUUAAAAAUUUAAUUGAUCAGAUAAGUGUGGAUUAAGCAAAGCCUAUUUAGGUCAGGUUAAAACUUGUGCCAGCAGCCGCGGUUAAACUCGAUGUCCUAGUGAAGGUGCAUAAGUGUGAGGUUAAAUAAGAUAAGUUAGAUAAAAAUUGUGUGUUCAAUAUAAUAAUAAGUGAAAUUUGUUUAUUGAUUCAAAAAAUUGAGUGCAAAUUAUAUCAAACUUAAAUUGAAGCCUAGAAAAUUUAGGUAAGAACCAGGAUUAGAUACCCUGCUACUCUAAUAGGAGCAAAUAGUGUAAGACUUGAGUAUUAGUAAUAAAUUAAUUUUAAAUUCAAAGAACCUGGCGGUACUUUAGUCUAGUUGGAGGAACCUGUUUUAUAAACGAUAAACCACGUAGAAUCUUUCUUGUUCUUGUAUAGCUAGUAUACCUUCAUUACAGAUAAUUUUUAUUGAUUAAUUAUUGAAAUUGGUUCCUAACCGAGUAAAUUAGAUCAAGGUGCUGCAAAUGGACAAGUAAAAAUGGGUUACAAUGGUUUUUGACGUUAAGCGGAUUAUAUUCAGGAUGAGUAUAUGAAGAUGGAUUCAAUUGUAAUUUUAACUUUAAUAAGGUAAAAUGGUAUUAGCUCUAAAGUGUGUACAUAUUGCCCGUCGCUUUCAUUAAAUCAAAUGAGAUAAGUCGUAACAUAGUGGGUGUACUGGAAAGUGCACCUAGAAG